UUUGAUACUUAGCGGCGGACGGGUGAGUAACACGUAGGCAACCUGCCCUCAAGUUUGGGACAACUACCGGAAACGGUAGCUAAUACCGAAUAGUUGUUUUCUUCGCCUGAAGGAAACUGGAAAGACGGAGCAAUCUGUCACUUGGGGAUGGGCCUGCGGCGCAUUAGCUAGUUGGUGGGGUAACGGCUCACCAAGGCGACGAUGCGUAGCCGACCUGAGAGGGUGAUCGGCCACACUGGGACUGAGACACGGCCCAGACUCCUACGGGAGGCAGCAGUAGGGAAUCUUCCGCAAUGGGCGAAAGCCUGACGGAGCAAUGCCGCGUGAGUGAUGAAGGUUUUCGGAUCGUAAAGCUCUGUUGCCAGGGAAGAACGCUUGGGAGAGUAACUGCUCUCAAGGUGACGGUACCUGAGAAGAAAGCCCCGGCUAACUACGUGCCAGCAGCCGCGGUAAUACGUAGGGGGCAAGCGUUGUCCGGAAUUAUUGGGCGUAAAGCGCGCGCAGGCGGUCAUUUAAGUCUGGUGUUUAAUCCCGGGGCUCAACCCCGGAUCGCACUGGAAACUGGGUGACUUGAGUGCAGAAGAGGAGAGUGGAAUUCCACGUGUAGCGGUGAAAUGCGUAGAUAUGUGGAGGAACACCAGUGGCGAAGCGACUCUCUGGGCUGUAACUGACGCUGAGCGCGAAAGCGUGGGGAGCAAACAGAUUAGAUACCCUGGUAGUCCACGCCGUAAACGAUGAGUGCUAAGUGU
Molecule: ribosomal RNA, 749 nt
Filed under: Paenibacillus pabuli
Lineage: Bacteria; Bacillati; Bacillota; Bacilli; Caryophanales; Paenibacillaceae
Description: bacterial SSU rRNA
Rfam family: Bacterial small subunit ribosomal RNA
Source: RNAcentral